Molecule: ribosomal RNA, 427 nt
Filed under: uncultured bacterium
Lineage: Bacteria
Description: partial 16S ribosomal RNA
Rfam family: Bacterial small subunit ribosomal RNA
Source: RNAcentral
UGGGGAAUAUUGCACAAUGGGCGCAAGCCUGAUGCAGCCAUGCCGCGUGUAUGAAGAAGGCCUUCGGGUUGUAAAGUACUUUCAGCGGGGAGGAAGGGAGUAAAGUUAAUACCUUUGCUCAUUGACGUUACCCGCAGAAGAAGCACCGGCUAACUCCGUGCCAGCAGCCGCGGUAAUACGGAGGGUGCAAGCGUUAAUCGGAAUUACUGGGCGUAAAGCGCACGCAGGCGGUUUGUUAAGUCAGAUGUGAAAUCCCCGGGCUCAGCCUGGGAACUGCAUCUGAUACUGGCAAGCUUGAGUCUCGUAGAGGGGGGUAGAAUUCCAGGUGUAGCGGUGAAAUGCGUAGAGAUCUGGAGGAAUACCGGUGGCGAAGGCGGCCCCCUGGACGAAGACUGACGCUCAGGUGCGAAAGCGUGGGGAGCAAACA